UGACCUCGGAUUAGGUAGGAAUACCCGCUAAAUUUAAGUAUAUUAAUAAGCGGAGGAAAAGAAAUUAAUAGGGAUUGCCCUAGUAAUAGCGAAUAAAAUAGUAAUAAUUCAAAUUUAAAAUUUAGUUUUAGCCCGAAUUGUAAUUUAUAGAGGAAACUUUUAGUAAAACACCUUCUAAAUCCCCUAGAACAAAACACUAUAGAGGGUGAGAGCCCCGUAUAAUUGGAUGCUAAUCUAAUAUAAAAUUCCUUCAACGAAUCGAAUAAUUUAGAAAUACUAUUCAAAAUAGGAGGUAAAUUUCUUCUAAAGUUAAAUACCAAUUAAAGACCAAUAGUAUACAAAUAGAGUAAUUAAAAGAUGAAAAACAUUUUAAAAAGAGGGUUAAAUAGUAUAUAAAAUUAUUAAAAGGGAAAUAUUUAUAAUUAGAUUUAUAUUAUUCCGAUUAUUUAAUAUUUUUACCAGUAUAUUUAGGAUAGUUUAAACUAAUAUUAGUUUUAGCGGGGGGAUAAAGGUCUAGGGAAUAUAGCUCCUCUAGGAAUAUUAUAGCCCCGGGUAUAAUACCUUCGUUAGGACUAAAGUUCGUAUAUCUAUAAGGAUACUAAUAUAAUAAUUAUUAAUAAUUUGUUUUAAAAUAUAAACUAAGGAAUUAAAGUUUUAUAUAAAUAUUUAAAUAUAAAACCCGUACGUAUAAUAAAAGUAAAUAUAAGUAAGAAUUUUAGCGUAUUAUUGAUUAAUUUUAAUAUAUUUGAAUAGAUUUGAGUAAAAGCGUUAAACCUUAGACCCAAAAGAUAGUGAACUAUAUUUAGAUAGGGUGAAGUUAAAGGAAAUUUUAGUAGAGGUUCGUAGCGGUUCUAACGUAUAAAUCGAUUAUUAAAUUUAAAUAUAGGGGCGAAAAAUUAAUUGAACUAUUUAGUAGUUAGUUACUACCGAAGUUUCUUUUAGAAUAAUAGUAUUAUUCUUUAAUUUUAUAAAGUAAAGCGAAUAAUUAGGGAUUUGGGGGCGCUUUUUAACCUUCAUCCAUUCUUAAACUUUAAAUAUAUAAGAAGCCCUUAUUAUUUAAUUAAAUAUAGGUAUUCGAAUAUACUAAUACUAAUAAGCUAUUUUUGGUAAGUAAAAUUAGUAAUAUGGAAUAAACUGAACGUAGGAUUAAAGUACCGAAGUAGACGCUUAUUAAAUACUAUAAAAAGUAUUAAUAUAUUUUAAUAGUAGGAUAGUAAUUAUAGAAGUUGGAAUCCGCUAAAGACUAUAUAAUAAUUUACUUACUAAAUAUAUUAGCCCUAAAAAUAAAUAGUAUUUAAAUAUCCUACCUAUACCCCGCCCUUAAGGUAGAAACGAUACCUUAAAGAGUAGGCGGUUAUAGAGGUUAAUAAUAAAGCUUAGGGCGUAAACCCAGAUCGAACAGCCUCUAAUAUAAAUUUUAAUAAUAGUAAUAAAUAUUUUAAUAAGAAUUUGAAGGACCGAAGUAGGGAAAGGUUCUAUAUAAAUAACGGUUGGAUAUAAGUUAGUCGAUUUUAAACUAUAAGGAAAUUCCAUUUUAAAGGGGCACUUAUACCCUAUAUAGCAAAAAGGAAGCCGGUUAAUAUUCUAGUAUUUAAAUAUAGGUUUUACACGGCAACGCAACUAAAUACGGAGAUAACAGCGGGGGCCUUAAAUAGAAUUCUCUUUUCUUCUUAAUAAUUUAUUAUUUUAAAAAUAAUUUAUUUAGAAAUAGGGUUUAAUAGCUAGAAGAGCCCGACACUUCUAUUAAGUCCGAUACACUUUCAAUAUCCCUUAAAAAUCUAUAAGAAGGAAUAAUUCUUAUACUAGGUUAUAUUUAUAAUUAUAGUAGGUCUCUAAAGUAAAUAGCCUUUAGUUAAUAGAAUAAUAUAAAUAAGGGAAAUCGGUAAAAUAAAUCCGUAACUUCGGGAAAAGGAUUAACUUUAAAGGUUAGGUACGUUGGGUUUUAAAUAAACGCCUUAAAAAUAAAUCGCUACUAGCUAAAUAACUAGCCGGUAAUUUUUAGUAUUUGGGUAUAAAAGCCCUUAAUAAACUUCGGUCGUUUAAUAUACAUUUAAUAACCAAUUUAGAAUUAGUACAGAUAAGGGAAAUUUAAUUAUUUAAUUAAAAUAUAGUAUUACAAUGGCUAGAAAGUAAUAUUGACGUAAUAUAAUUUCUACCUAGUACUCUAAAUAUUAAAGUAAAGAAAUUCAACUAAGCGUAGGUAAAUAGCGGGAGUAACUAUAACUCUCUUAAAGUAGCUAAAUACUUCGUUAUUUAAUUAAUAAUAUAUAUAAAUAAAUUAACGAAAUUCCUACUAUCCCUAUCUACUAUCUAAUAAAACUAUAGCCAAAGGAACGGGCUUAAUAGAAUUAGCAGGGAAAAAAAACCCUAUUAAAUUUAAUUCUAAUUUAAUAUUAUAAAAAAAUAUAAAAGGUAUAAAAUAAGUAGGAGCUUCGGCGCUAAUAAAAUACUACUACUCUUAUUAUUUUUUUAUUUAUUUAAUUAAACGGGGCUAGAUUUUCGUCUAAUUUCUAAUUUUAAAGUCCUUUGUAGACUAACCCAGAUUAAAGAUAUUAUUAAGUAGGGAGUUUGGCUAGGGUAGUAUAUUUAUUAAACUAUAAUAUAAGUAUCUUAAGGGGGGUUUAUAGAGAAUAAAAAUCUCUAAUAGAAUAAAAGGGUAAAAGUCCCCUUAAUUUUAAUUUUUAAUAUAAAUACAAACUAUAAAAGUAUAGCCUAUCGAUCUUUUAGUCCCUCGAAAUUUGAGGUUAAAGGUACUAGAAAAGUUACUAUAGAGAUAAUUAAUUUAUAGCGGCUAAGCGUUUAUAGUAAUAUUGUUUUUUAAUCCUUUAAUAUCGGCUCUUCCUAUUAUACUAAAGUAGAAUUCGGUAAGUAUUAGAUUAUUUACCUACUAAUAGGGAAUAUAAGCUGGGUUUAAACUAUUAUAAGAUAGGUUAGUUUUACCUUAUUAAUAAUUUUAUUAUAAUAAUAAUUAAAUUUAGUACGAAAGGAACUGCUUAUUUAAAUAAUUAGUUUUUAUAAUUGUCCGACCGGGUAAUACUAUAACGCUACUAUCUAUUAAAUAAUAAUUAAACGCUUUUAAAUUAAAAUUUAUAUUAAAAUGCAAUAAUACCUCUAAUACGUUAUAAAUAUAUAAAAAUAAACUCCGGCCUUGUAUUUUAGUAAACGAUUCCUCUAUUAGCCUUAAAGUAGCUAACGGUAAUUUAUAUAUUGUAAUUUUAAUAUACAUUAGAUUAAAUCUUUUAUAAAUAAUUUAAAUAUACGAAAGGGUCCUAUAAGUAAUAAAAUAGCCUUAUUAUUAUAAUUUACUAAGGGUAAACCCUCCUUCGCUUAAAUUUCC
Molecule: ribosomal RNA, 3337 nt
Organism: Neurospora crassa OR74A
Lineage: Eukaryota; Fungi; Ascomycota; Sordariomycetes; Sordariales; Sordariaceae
Rfam family: Eukaryotic large subunit ribosomal RNA
Source: Rfam